AGCGCGCCUCGCCCCUCGGGAGGGCGGGGAGGGAGAGGCGCGGGGGGAGGUAACGCUGACCUCCAAGGAGUCUGUCCCCAACUUAUUUUGAAAAGGUAGUAAUCUUUAAAAGACCAGGGAGCAUCCAAGAAUGCUACCAGUGCCCUUCUCUUUGCAGUAGCAUUUGGGGGAUUUUAACUUCUUUCCCCUCUCCUCCCCUUCUCCGCCUCAUCCUCUUCUUAGUGCUGGGAUUGAAUUCAAGGCCUUCAUGCCGUCUAGAUUCUCAGCUUCCCCACACUUCCUUUUUCGUUUUCUUUUCUUUUGGACAGGGUCGCACUAUGUAGAUCAGGCUGGCCUUAAACUCACUACGUAGCCCAGGCUGGCCUCCGAACUCAUGGCGAUCCUCCUGCCUCCGCCUUCUGAGUGCUAGGAUUACAGAUGAACACCACCACACCCAACCUGCUAAUUUUUUUUAAUGUUUUCUUUAUCCUCCACAUUUUCUUCUGUGAGACAGGAUCUUUAAUACUUUUUAUAAUCAGGAAAUUUAAAACAUAAUGAGAAACUGAGGCCCAGGAGAGCAGGGCUCUGAUACCAUAACGCAGCCCACACAGGCAACCCUGUCUUCAGCCUGACAAACUCCCCUCAUAGGGGACACCCUUGUCGUCUGCCCCCUCCCCACACCCCAGCGCCUGACUCCACGCUCCCAGCGCCCCAUCUGCAGAGCGCCCUCUGCUGGGCGUGCGCGGUCCUACGCCUCCCAGGGGCUGCGCCAUCCCGCGGGCUGCACCCACUGCGCCUGCGCCUUGCGCCCUCCAUACUUGGGAGCCGCAGUUGCCCGGGGCUCCAUCCUCCCACACUGGGACCCAGGAGUCCCUCCCUCCACCCUGCACUUGCGGACAGCCCUCCGCUAGUCCAUCUGCCCCACCCAGCUCAGACAGGCUCAUUUAUUGCGCACCUACUGUGUACCCUACACCACUCAGCCCAGGAAGCAGGGCAAACACAGACCCUGCCCUGGAGUUUGGGGUGCAGAAAAAACGAGCAAAUGCCUCGGACAGAGACCUCCGCCCGGGACCAGAUGUCCAUCCAGCCAGACCCUUACCCAGGACAGGGGCUGAUGUGUGGGAGGAAGGAGACGAGGCAGGAAGGCCAGAGGAGGCCUGAGUGGCUCAGUGCACAACUCGGGCACCCGUGCCAGUCAUAUCCCGGCCAUGAGGGAUGUCCCUGUUGAAG
This 1209-nucleotide long non-coding RNA is filed under the name Heterocephalus glaber (naked mole-rat). RNAcentral describes it as "lncRNA (ENSHGLG00000037609.1)". Lineage: Eukaryota; Metazoa; Chordata; Mammalia; Rodentia; Bathyergidae. The record is from RNAcentral.